Molecule: long non-coding RNA, 331 nt
Organism: Lytechinus pictus (painted urchin)
Lineage: Eukaryota; Metazoa; Echinodermata; Echinoidea; Temnopleuroida; Toxopneustidae
Exons: 3
Source: RefSeq, a predicted model, not a curated record
ACUUCAUUGGAGCAGAAAAUCUUGGAGGGAACAUUAGUACUAUUCUAAUGACAUUCCAUAGGAAUAAAAAUCCAAUUGGACCAAGUUCUUAGCAGUUCACACCUAGUCAGAAGUACAAAAUUGAGAACCAUGCCGAUCAGCAAGUGUUAGUUACAAUCUAAUGAGGAACAGGAUAUCUGAAUGGAAAAAUUGCAAGGUUUCCCACUUCCCAAGCUGUUUAAGUACUGGUAUCACAACAUAAGUGCCAAGAAGAGAUAUGAAACGGUCUCAAAAUUUUUGCUGGUGCCCCCCCGAUGCCGUGACCCACGGUACGCCACUGCAAGUCUUCAUA